GGCUGUUGAGGAUGUUAUUUGAUCGACAAGAGAAAAGUUUCCCUCCUACAAGGGAAGAGUUUGCACAUCGUUAAUGAAUGAUCAGGAAAAGUUCACCUGUCGCUGAUGAAUGGCAGAAAAGUUUCGUUGUUGUUAGUAGACGACAGGGAAAAGUUCCCAAAAAUGAGAAGUUACUCUCUCAUUCAAGAGCAUCAUAUAUGAUGCUAUGGAAAUUACAAGCUAAGCACCACAAAAACGUGGGAUAAGAAGCCGAUGAUGAGAGCUAGAGCUAUAUUGCUUGCCUUUCCUGCAAAAACAAGAAAUCAAUUUCUUAUUAGACCUUAAAUAAUCAUGGAGCAGAUGGAAAAGUGUACUCUGAUUAAAUAUAUAUACACACACACACACCCGAUCUUGCUUUACUGGUUGGUGGUGGAGAUGGAAGUAGUGGUGCUUGUGAUGUUGGCAAAAUCUCAGCUUCUCAACUGCAGCAGGGUUGUAGAAAAGGUCUAUCUCGCACUGAAAAUUGCAGCUGGGCGUAAUGACUCUCCCUCCUUGCUUCUCAUUGCAACAUUGUGGAAGCGAUCCAGUGGCCUGAGUUAGGCAAUCGCUGCAUUCCUGCUUAGACAAGUCAGAAGUACACUGUUGGAUUUUUUGGGAGGCGUUGGUUGCAGCUUGUAAUGAGAAUCCCCUGCUGCAGCUCAACACCUUAGCCUAUCUAACAACGUCAUCCUCGACAGGUUGAACCUGUUUACAUCUGAGACAUUUUUCAUUCUAUGCACCCGAAAGUAACGUUGUCCUUCCAUCGGCCCAAAUAUGGAGCCAUUUCUGCAGCGUAACAUGCAGUUAUCAGACUCUCCAAUAGCCUCCUUAGAGUUUGGG
This 858-nucleotide unclassified non-coding RNA is filed under the name Hevea brasiliensis (rubber tree). The record is from RNAcentral. Lineage: Eukaryota; Viridiplantae; Streptophyta; Magnoliopsida; Malpighiales; Euphorbiaceae.